AACGCGAAGAACCUUACCCAGACUUGACAUGCAGUAGACGUAUGCAGAAAUGUAUAUUUCCUUCGGGACUGCUGCACAGGUGCUGCAUGGCUGUCGUCAGCUCGUGCCGUGAGGUGUUGGGUUAAGUCCCGCAACGAGCGCAACCCUUAUCAUUAGUUGCCAACAUGUAAAGAUGGGAACUCUAAUGAGACUGCCUGGGUUAACCAGGAGGAAGGUGAGGAUGACGUCAAGUCCGCAUGGCCCUUAUGUCUGGGGCUACACACGUGCUACAAUGGACGGUACAGAAGGCAGCGAAGCCGUGAGGUGAAGCAAAUCCCAAAAACCGUCCUCAGUUCAGAUUGUAGUCUGCAACUCGACUACAUGAAGACGGAAUUGCUAGUAAUGGCGAGUCAGCAACAUCGCCGUGAAUACGUUCCCGGGCCUUGUACACACCGAGUAUA
Molecule: ribosomal RNA, 440 nt
Filed under: uncultured bacterium
Lineage: Bacteria
Description: bacterial SSU rRNA
Rfam family: Bacterial small subunit ribosomal RNA
Source: RNAcentral